UGCCAGCCGCCGCGGUAAUACGGAGGGUGCAAGCGUUAAUCGGAAUUAUUGGGCUUAAAGGGUGCGUAGGCGGCGUUGUAGGUGGGGUGUGAAAUCCCUCGGCUCAACCGAGGAAUUGCGCCCCAAACCACAGUGCUAGAGGGAGACAGAGGUAAGCGGAACUGAUGGUGGAGCGGUGAAAUGCGUUGAUAUCAUCAGGAACACCGGUGGCGAAAGCGGCUUACUGGGUCUCUUCUGACGCUGAGGCACGAAAGCUAGGGUAGCGAACGGGAUUAGAUA
This 279-nucleotide ribosomal RNA is filed under the name uncultured bacterium. RNAcentral's name for it is "partial 16S ribosomal RNA". It matches the Rfam family "Bacterial small subunit ribosomal RNA", at positions 506 to 784 of the family's 1533-position model. The record is from RNAcentral.